UGGUGGGAUCCAUGCCUGGUUCAAUUUAAUAAAUGUGAGCUUGUCCACAUUGGCCGUGGACAGAUGGCUGCGCUUAUCUGUGAUAACCUCGUGUCUGUGAUAACCUCGACAACGCAUUCGGAUGUCUGCCCUAUCAACUUUCGAUGCUAUUUUCCGCGCCUACCAUGGUGACCACUGGUAACGGGGAAUCAGGGUUCGAUUCCAGAGAGGGAGCCUGAGAAACGGCUACCACAUGCAAGGAAGGCAGCAGACGCGCAAAUUACCCACUCCCGACGCAGCGAGGUAGUGA
Pelobates cultripes (western spadefoot toad) is the source of this 289-nucleotide non-coding RNA. Lineage: Eukaryota; Metazoa; Chordata; Amphibia; Anura; Pelobatidae. The record is from the annotation of a GenBank genome assembly.